GACGAACGCUGGCGGCGUGCUUAACACAUGCAAGUCGAACGGAAAGGCCCUGCUUUUGUGGGGUGCUCGAGUGGCGAACGGGUGAGUAACACGUGAGUAACCUGCCCUUGACUUUGGGAUAACUUCAGGAAACUGGGGCUAAUACCGGAUAGGAGCUCCUGCUGCAUGGUGGGGGUUGGAAAGUUUCGGCGGUUGGGGAUGGACUCGCGGCUUAUCAGCUUGUUGGUGGGGUAGUGGCUUACCAAGGCUUUGACGGGUAGCCGGCCUGAGAGGGUGACCGGCCACAUUGGGCCUGAGAUACGGCCCAGACUCCUACGGGAGGCAGCAGUGGGGAAUCUUGCACAAUGGGCGGAAGCCUGAUGCAGCAACGCCGCGUGCGGGAUGACGGCCUUCGGGUUGUAAACCGCUUUCGCCUGUGCCGAAGCGUGAGUGACGGUAAUGGGUAAAGAAGCACCGGCUAACUACGUG
Molecule: ribosomal RNA, 468 nt
Filed under: uncultured bacterium
Lineage: Bacteria
Description: partial 16S ribosomal RNA
Rfam family: Bacterial small subunit ribosomal RNA
Source: RNAcentral